UACCUGGUUGAUUCUGCCAGUAGUCAUAUGCUUGUCUCAAAGAUUAAGCCAUGCAUGUCUAAGUAUAAGCAAUCAUACUGUGAAACUGCGAAUGGCUCAUUAAAUCAGUUAU
This 112-nucleotide non-coding RNA is filed under the name Exophiala aquamarina CBS 119918. Its description in RNAcentral is "Eukaryotic small subunit ribosomal RNA". It matches the Rfam family "Eukaryotic small subunit ribosomal RNA", at positions 1 to 113 of the family's 1831-position model. The record is from Rfam by way of RNAcentral. Lineage: Eukaryota; Fungi; Ascomycota; Eurotiomycetes; Chaetothyriales; Herpotrichiellaceae.